This 429-nucleotide ribosomal RNA is filed under the name uncultured bacterium. RNAcentral describes it as "bacterial SSU rRNA". It matches the Rfam family "Bacterial small subunit ribosomal RNA", at positions 354 to 796 of the family's 1533-position model. The record is from RNAcentral.
GUGAGGGAUAUUCGGCAAUGGGGGCAACCCUGACCGAGCGACGCCGCGUGGGGGAUGACGGCCUUCGGGUUGUAAACCCCUUUUCUGUGGGACGAGGUAUACGGACGGUACCACAGGAAGAAGCCUCGGCUAACUACGUGCCAGCAGCCGCGGUAAUACGUAGGAGGCGAGCGUUGUCCGGAGUUACUGGGCGUAAAGGGUGCGCAGGCGGCCCCGCGCGUGGGUGGUGAAAUCUCCCGGCUCACCUGGGAGGGGGCCAUCCAGACGGCGGGGCUUGAGGCUCGGAGAGGGACGUGGAAUUCCGGGUGGAGCGGUGAAAUGCGUAGAGAUCCGGAGGAACACCGACGGCGAAGGCAGCGUCCUGGCCGAGACCUGACGCUCAGGCACGAAAGCUGGGGGAGCGAACAGGAUUAGAUACCCUUGUAGUCC